CGGGCCGCACAAGCGGUGGAGCAUGUGGUUUAAUUCGACGCAACGCGAAGAACCUUACCUGGGCUUGACAUCCCGAUCGCACCUUAUGGAAACAGUAGGGGUCAGUUCGGCUGGAUCGGUGACAGGGUGCUGCAUGGCUGUCGUCAGCUCGUGUCGUGAGAUGUUGGGUUAAGUCCCGCAACGAGCGCAACCCUUGUCCUUAGUUGCCAGCAUUCAGUUGGGCACUCUAAGGAGACUGCCGGUGUCAAACCGGAGGAAGGUGGGGAUGACGUCAAGUCCUCAUGGCCCUUAUGUCCAGGGCUACACACGUGCUACAAUGGCCGGUACAAAGGGGCGCAAGACCGCGAGGUGGAGCAAAUCCCAAAAAACCGGUCUCAGUUCGGAUUGGAGUCUGCAACUCGACUCCAUGAAGUUGGAAUCGCUAGUAAUCGCGGAUCAGCACGCCGCGGUGAAUACGUUCCCGGGCCUU
RNAcentral lists this ribosomal RNA (469 nucleotides) under uncultured Geothermobacter sp. RNAcentral describes it as "bacterial SSU rRNA". It matches the Rfam family "Bacterial small subunit ribosomal RNA", at positions 918 to 1380 of the family's 1533-position model. The record is from RNAcentral. Lineage: Bacteria; Pseudomonadati; Thermodesulfobacteriota; Desulfuromonadia; Desulfuromonadales; Geothermobacteraceae.